AUGGCCCUCUCAUCAGUUUUCAGGAGAGUAAACAUCAAAGAAUUGAUCUCAAAUGUUCCGGUCUACACUAGCUCAACAGAGACAUCUGGAGGAAUGAGCUUGGUCUUUAGGCGUUGGGCCACAAAAAAGACUGCUGGGUCAACGAAAAAUGGCCGUGACUCUAACCCCAAGUAUCUGGGUGUUAAGAAAUUUGGUGGAGAGAAAGUGGAACCAGGAAACAUCAUCGUACGACAAAGAGGAACCCGCUUCCAUCCUGGGAACUAUGUUGGCAUGGGGAAGGAUCACACUAUCUUCUCUCUGAAGGAAGGCCAUGUGCGGUUUGAGCGGAAUAAGCUGACUGGCAGGAAAUGGAUUCAUGUUGAACCUGUAGCUGGGCACACUCUCCACCCUGUUUACGCCAACGGUUCAGCCACUGCAGCUGACAUGGAGCUACUGUAG
This 438-nucleotide ribosomal RNA is filed under the name Triticum aestivum (bread wheat). Its description in RNAcentral is "partial small subunit ribosomal RNA". The record is from RNAcentral. Lineage: Eukaryota; Viridiplantae; Streptophyta; Magnoliopsida; Poales; Poaceae.